Long non-coding RNA from Phyllostomus hastatus (greater spear-nosed bat), 926 nucleotides. RefSeq lists it as uncharacterized. Lineage: Eukaryota; Metazoa; Chordata; Mammalia; Chiroptera; Phyllostomidae. The transcript has 3 exons. The record is from RefSeq and is a predicted model, not a curated record.
GGCGCUGUCACCGAGGCCUGGCUGAUGGCCUGGCUGGCGGCCUGGCUGGCGCCAGCUCUUGAUACCCUGGGAGUGCCGAAGAGGAUGUCCGAGGGAAAAGCGAACUUGGUGCAACUCUUGUUGAGCCGUGGAGCUGCAAAGGUCCUUGUCUCUCUGUCCUCUCUUCACCUGCAAAGACGGCCCAGAAAUGGAUUGACUUCGCAGCCAAAUGGAGAAUCAAAUGAAAUAUGAUUUCAUUGUGGGACCGUUCCAACCACUCAAUAAUUUAAAGCAUGCCACGCGAAACCGGGAGUAAAAAUAACAUGUGACUCACAUCCCGGAGCCUCGCUCUCAGCGCGCUGGGCCCGCACGGCAGGAGGGCGCAGCUGCAUGGGGCCCGAGCUCACCGCCGUCGCACGCCCACGGCUGAGUGGGCCUCUGCAGGCAGGUGAGCCCAGGGCACGUGCUGGCGUGGGGCAGCCGUGCCUCGACUCUCCGUAGCGGCUGUGUCUGCGCCCUCGGAACUCUGAGGGCUUUGAGGGCUCGGCGACGUCUGGCCACCACAGAGAAGCACAAGAUGUCUUCCUCUCACCAGCGCUUUCAGGAGCAGAGACGGGCUGCGGGCCUCGGCGCCGCUGUGAAGUCCCGCCCCCCGGCCUCGGAGACCAGCGCAGUGGGGAGUGAUGUCACAGGGCCCACGUCUGUUCGGCCUCCAGCGGUGGCCAGCGUCCAGACCCCCUCCUGCCCCGGGUCCAGCACGGGAGGUGGUGAGGGCAGCCCCUGUGACCGAGUCAGAAUCAACUCAAGUCCCUGUGGCCUUAGGCUGUAGCCCGACCGCUUUGCUUUUCUUUUUUUAGAUUUUAUUUAUUUAUUAUUAGAGGGGAAGGGAGGGAGACAGAGAGGGAGAGAAACAUCACUGUGGGGUUGCCUCUCACGUACCCCCCACU